This 304-nucleotide long non-coding RNA is filed under the name Helianthus annuus (common sunflower). RNAcentral's name for it is "hypothetical non coding rna". The record is from RNAcentral. Lineage: Eukaryota; Viridiplantae; Streptophyta; Magnoliopsida; Asterales; Asteraceae.
GAGGUUUUUUGACAGUCUUUAAUGGCUUAAAAUGCCUAAAGUUUUAUGGGAUUUGAAGUUCAGAUUGAUAUAUAGAGAGGUCUUUAAGGGCUGAAAAUGCCUAAAUUUUUCUGGGAUUUGAAGUUUAGAUUGAUAUAUAGAGAGUAAGUUGUUAAAGUUGUAAUCUUUUUAUGUUAUGUAAUCAUAAUAGUUGAAAAGAUUUGGUGCUUUUUUGGUUUGUUUUUUUUUUUUUUUUUUUUUGACUCAAUACAUUAUGUUGUUGUUUAACUUGUAGUCUUUUUGUAUUAUCUAAUCAUAAUAAUUG